Molecule: non-coding RNA, 325 nt
Filed under: Paraclostridium benzoelyticum
Lineage: Bacteria; Bacillati; Bacillota; Clostridia; Peptostreptococcales; Peptostreptococcaceae
Description: Bacterial large subunit ribosomal RNA
Rfam family: Bacterial large subunit ribosomal RNA
Source: Rfam by way of RNAcentral
UACGCGAGCUGGGUUCAGAACGUCGUGAGACAGUUCGGUCCCUAUCCGUCGCAGGCGUAGGAAAUUUGAGGAGACCUGUCCUUAGUACGAGAGGACCGGGAUGGACGUACCUCUGGUGUACCAGUUGUCCUGCCAAGGGCAUGGCUGGGUAGCUAUGUACGGAAUGGAUAAGCGCUGAAAGCAUCUAAGCGCGAAGCCAACUUCAAGAUAAGAUUUCCCACCGUAAGGGUAAGAUCCCAGGAAGACUACCUGGUUGAUAGGUCGGAGGUGUAAGUGCAGCAAUGUAUGUAGCUUACCGAUACUAAUAGAUCGAGGACUUGACCAA